RNAcentral lists this ribosomal RNA (476 nucleotides) under uncultured bacterium. Its description in RNAcentral is "bacterial SSU rRNA". It matches the Rfam family "Bacterial small subunit ribosomal RNA", at positions 28 to 507 of the family's 1533-position model. The record is from RNAcentral.
GAUGAACGCUGGGCGGCGUGCUUAACACAUGCAAGUCGAACGGAGAAACGGUAGCUUGCUAUCUUUUUUAGUGGCGGACGGGUGAGUAACGCGUGGGUAACCUGCCCUUUGCAGGGGGAUAACAGUGAGAAAUCGCUGCUAAUACCGCAUACCAACUUCUUUCGCAUGAAAGAAGUUUGAAAGAUUUAUCGGCAAAGGAUGGACCCGCGUUGGAUUAGCUAGUUGGUGAGAUAACAGCCCACCAAGGCAACGAUCCAUAGCCGGCCUGAGAGGGUGAACGGCCACACUGGGACUGAGACACGGCCCAGACUCCUACGGGAGGCAGCAGUGGGGAAUAUUGCACAAUGGGCGAAAGCCUGAUGCAGCGACGCCGCGUGAAGGAUGAAGGUCUUCGGAUUGUAAACUUCUAUCAGCAGGGAAGAAAGGGCUUAUAGCCUAUGACGGUACCUGACUAAGAAGCCCCGGCUAACUACGUG